GUAGGGAAUAUUGCGCAAUGGACGAAAGUCUGACGCAGCGACGCCGCGUGAGUGAUGAAGGCCUUAGGGUCGUAAAGCUCUGUUGAAUGGGAAGAAAAAAAUGACGGUACCAUUCGAGGAAGGACCGGCUAACUUCGUGCCAGCAGCCGCGGUAAUACGAGGGGUCCUAGCGUUGUUCGGAAUCAUUGGGCGUAAAGGGUGUGUAGGUGGCCAUGUAAGUCAGGUGUGAAAGCCCCGGGCUCAACCCGGGAAGUGCACUUGAUACUGCGUGGCUUGAGUACCGAAGAGGGUAGUGGAAUUCCAGGUGUAGUGGUGAAAUACGUAGAUAUCUUGAGGAACACCGGUGGCGAAGGCGGCUACCUGGUCGAGUACUGACACUGAGACACGAAAGCAUGGGGAUCAAACAGGAUUAGAAACCCGUGUAGUCC
This 428-nucleotide ribosomal RNA is filed under the name uncultured bacterium. RNAcentral describes it as "partial 16S ribosomal RNA". It matches the Rfam family "Bacterial small subunit ribosomal RNA", at positions 354 to 796 of the family's 1533-position model. The record is from RNAcentral.